RNAcentral lists this transfer RNA (74 nucleotides) under Candidatus Methylacidithermus pantelleriae. Its description in RNAcentral is "Methylacidiphilaceae bacterium PQ17 tRNA-His". It matches the Rfam family "tRNA". Rfam says of the family: Transfer RNA (tRNA) molecules are approximately 80 nucleotides in length. Their secondary structure includes four short double-helical elements and three loops (D, anti-codon, and T loops). Further hydrogen bonds mediate the characteristic L-shaped molecular structure. tRNAs have two regions of fundamental functional importance: the anti-codon, which is responsible for specific mRNA codon recognition, and the 3' end, to which the tRNAs corresponding amino acid is attached (by aminoacyl-tRNA synthetases). tRNAs cope with the degeneracy of the genetic code in two manners: having more than one tRNA (with a specific anti-codon) for a particular amino acid; and 'wobble' base-pairing, i.e. permitting non-standard base-pairing at the 3rd anti-codon position. Lineage: Bacteria; Pseudomonadati; Verrucomicrobiota; Methylacidiphilae; Methylacidiphilales; Methylacidiphilaceae. The record is from RNAcentral.
GCGGCUGUAGCUCAAUGGCAGAGCACCAGGCUGUGGCCCUGGUGGUUGCGGGUUCGAAUCCCGUCGGCCGCCCA